GCCUGUGGGCUCUCUUCUGUCAGGUGCUGCCUGAAUGAUGACUUGGAUCCUGUUUCCUUUGAAAGGACUGAUGACAUUGGAGGGCUUUGGAGGUAACAGAUCAGUUGAACUUGAACCACUAUCUUUCUGAAUUCCACCUCCAACAUUUUCUCCACUGUGGUGUCAAUGGAGUCUGCAAUUGUGGUAUUCUAUGUUGUUAGAAAGUCUACCUCUUGAAGCUUUCCAAUUAAAUCUCCCUGCUAUUACUUGGGGCAGUGUCUCUCCUGUUUCUUGAACCUGAGGAGAAAUACAGUUGAGGUUCCUGUGCUCAUAAGGACUGGAGGUGCUCCCUGUACUCAGCUGCUCUGUGAUGAGUCCUGAUGACAUCUGAAGACCCUGUGCUUAUGAAGAAUGGAAG
Sciurus carolinensis (gray squirrel) is the source of this 397-nucleotide long non-coding RNA. RefSeq lists it as uncharacterized. NCBI's taxonomy places the organism in Eukaryota, Metazoa, Chordata, Mammalia, Rodentia, Sciuridae. The transcript is spliced from 4 exons. The record is from RefSeq and is a predicted model, not a curated record.